Molecule: ribosomal RNA, 490 nt
Filed under: uncultured bacterium
Lineage: Bacteria
Description: partial 16S ribosomal RNA
Rfam family: Bacterial small subunit ribosomal RNA
Source: RNAcentral
AUUGAACGCUGGCGGCAUGCUUUACACAUGCAAGUCGGACGGCAGCACAGAGAAGCUUGCUUCUUGGGUGGCGAGUGGCGCACGUGUGAGUAAUAUAUCGGAACGUACCGAGUAAUGGGGGAUAACUAAUCGAAAGAUUAGCUAAUACCGCAUAUUCUCUGAUGCGGAAAGCAGGGGACCUUCGGGCCUUGCGUUAUUCGAGCGUCCGAUAUCUGAUUAGCUAGUUGGUGGGGUAAAGGCCGACCAAGUCGACGAUCAGUAGCGGGUCUGAGAGUAUGAACCGCCACACUGGGACUGAGACACGGCCCAGACUCCUACGGGAGGCAGCAGUGGGGAAUUUUGGACAAUGGGCGCAAGCCUGAUCCAGCCAUGCCGCGUGUCUGAAGAAGGCCUUCGGGUUGUAAAGGACUUUUGUCAGGGAAGAAAAGGCUGUUGCUAAUAUCGACAGCUGAUGACGGUACCUUAAGAAUAAGCACCGGCUAACUACGUG